RNAcentral lists this microRNA (21 nucleotides) under Drosophila yakuba. Its description in RNAcentral is "dya-miR-2498-3p". The record is from miRBase by way of RNAcentral. Lineage: Eukaryota; Metazoa; Arthropoda; Insecta; Diptera; Drosophilidae.
AAUCUGCACAGCCGGCUUAAU